Long non-coding RNA from Cotesia glomerata, 132 nucleotides. RefSeq lists it as uncharacterized. The transcript is spliced from 2 exons. The record is from RefSeq and is a predicted model, not a curated record. Lineage: Eukaryota; Metazoa; Arthropoda; Insecta; Hymenoptera; Braconidae.
AGCGAUACUACAGGUCGAAGAAUUCAAAAACGAUAUACGAUAACACGAUAAGAAAUAAAACAACAUGGCCACCCUCCAGAAUCGCGAUAAGUUGUGUAGCUAUGUGGACUCAAUAAAACUGGUAUAUGAUAA